Molecule: long non-coding RNA, 1569 nt
Organism: Aethalodelphis obliquidens (Pacific white-sided dolphin)
Lineage: Eukaryota; Metazoa; Chordata; Mammalia; Artiodactyla; Delphinidae
Exons: 2
Source: RefSeq, a predicted model, not a curated record
UUAAUAACAUGUAUCAAGAAUUAAACUCACUUUUAAUAUCAAGUGUUGAUGGUGAAGGAAUUUGGUACCUUCACAUACUGUUGGUAGACCUGAAACUUAGUAGGGCAUUAUUUAUAACUGUAGCAAAAAUAGACACAAACUUAUCAACAAGAGGCAGGUGAAGUAUGGAUACUACCUAGUAAUUAAAGUAAAUCUGGAGGAACUGACCUGGGAGAACAUCUUGUUUGUUAAAUGUAAAAAACGAAGUUGCAAAACACUAUGUACAGUAAGAUGAACUUUAUGAAAAAAAUAAACUACAAGCAGGACUCUAUAAAGGUGUAGAGAGAAGUCUGGAAGGGUACACGCCAAGCACCCAAGGAGUGAGAAGGGAGUAACAGUUACUGAGUGUUUGCUUUGUGGCAUGAGAUUCUUUACAUGAUUCUUUAGAGAUUCUUUGCAUGUACUAGCUCUAAACUUCCCAGCAAUUCUGAGGGUAUAAAACCCUGGAGACUCUUAAAUCUAAAGAUUUGUAUCUUUCUGUAGUUCAAGGACAAUUUCUGAAAUUAUGUAUUUGAUUGUGUACUCCCCAGAAGUCUGUUUUCCCUUUCUAUAACUCUUCCUGCAUUGAUUCUCUAGAUCUUUUAAUUUUUCUCUCAUGUUUCUCACCUCUUCGUCUUUUUGUUCUAUGUUUUAGGUCUCAGUGGUUAUCAAACUUGAGGUGCACCCCAAUCUCCUGGAAGGCUUGUGAAAAUACAGAUUGCUGGGCCCCACCCCCAGUUUCUGAUUUAGCACACAGGAAGACUACAUUUCCCAGUGUCCCCUGCCUCUGGAUGGGGCCAUGUGAUUAGUUCUGAUCAAUGGAAUUCAACUUCUUGGUUCCGCUCCUACGAUAUACCAUGAGGAUCUUGGCUGCUCUCAUUAUCUAUAAGGCAGCUAUCUGAAUACAGAGGACCCAGAAGAAGGCUGCAAGAUGAUGGAGGAUCCAUAAGAUGGAAGGGACAGCCAACCAGGAACAUUCACUUUGUUUGUGUGAGGGAGGAAAAAGUCUUUGUAUUAAUCCACUGAGAUUUAGGUUUGUUAUAGUUGUUAGUCCAUUCUGACUGAUACAGUAAUUGGUAAAGAAAGUGGAGUCUUGCUGAAAUUAAAUCCUACAGUAUGUGACAUUAGCAUAGCAGUGGUGGUAAGCAGUGAGGAAGCUAUGCCGGGGGCUGGAGAAAUAGAGAUCCAUGUUGUUAGAGAAAAAAUAUUUGAUAAAAUCAUCAUUUUUUGAAAUGUGGGAGGAAGAUCCCGUGCCUAAUGAGUCAUCAGUACCAAGGAAAAAGAUGGGAAGUAGAGUAUUAACAUGUGUGGAUAUUAUUGGCCUUGAUGGCAGGGUAUUGCAAAGACGAUGUGCAUUCAGGAAAGACUCAGCCAGUGUAAAUGUUGAAAUGAAAGGAAAUUGGGAGAUUCCAGAAAUUUGGCACCUUGAAAGAAGGGAAAGGCAAGUAUUUUGAAGGCCCAAAUAGUAAGAGAUAGUAGUUUUAAAGCUUUGAGCAAUAAAGGCUCAGUAAAACUUAUCAGCUGAAUAAAGCCCUCAGGGAAAAUUUUAAA